This 362-nucleotide unclassified non-coding RNA is filed under the name Hevea brasiliensis (rubber tree). The record is from RNAcentral. Lineage: Eukaryota; Viridiplantae; Streptophyta; Magnoliopsida; Malpighiales; Euphorbiaceae.
GAGAAUUAUUGCAAUGCUUAGUCAGGAUUUCAUUUUUGAUGGCUGUACAAUUUUGGUCCAUGGUUUCUCUAGAGUUGUUAUGGAAGUUCUGAGGUUGGCUGCACAGAAUAAGAAGCUCUUUAGAGUGUUUUGCACAGAAGGAAGACCGGACAGGACAGGUUUGCGUUUAUCCAACGAGCUAGCUAAACUUGAUGUCCCUGUAAAGCUCCUAAUUGACUCAGCAGUAGCAUAUACCAUGGAUGAGGUUGAUAUGGUUCUUGUUGGGGCUGAUGGAGUAGUUGAGAGUGGAGGUAUAAUCAAUAUGAUGGGCACGUAUCAAAUUGCAUUAGUGGCACAUAGCAUGAACAAACCGGUGUAUGUGG